RNAcentral lists this ribosomal RNA (253 nucleotides) under uncultured bacterium. RNAcentral describes it as "partial 16S ribosomal RNA". It matches the Rfam family "Bacterial small subunit ribosomal RNA", at positions 524 to 776 of the family's 1533-position model. The record is from RNAcentral.
UACAGAGGGGGCAAGCGUUGUUCGGAAUUACUGGGCGUAAAGGGCGCGUAGGCGGCCUGUUAAGUCGACCGUGAAAUCCCCGGGCUCAACCCGGGAACUGCGUCCGAUACUGGCAGGCUUGAAUUCGGGAGAGGGAUGUGGAAUUCCAGGUGUAGCGGUGAAAUGCGUAGAUAUCAGGAGGAACACCAAUAGCGAAGGCAGCUCGCUGGGACGUUACUGACACUGAGGCGCGAAAGCGUGGGGAGCGAACAGG